UGUCCAGAAUAGGCUAUUUCGCUCUUAAAGCAACGUUUUGAGUGAGAUUUCGAACUCUCGGAAAAUUUAAAGAUUCUCUUUAUUUUUCCAUCGACCAGCGUUUCAUUUCGGAACUCUGGACUGUACGCACGAUAGGUUUCACUUUUCGGAUGUUCGCCGACGCUAAUUUCUUUGCUUCGAAACCCUAUUUUCGAGCAAUGGAUGAAGACUUUUUCUAUUCGGGACUUCUAACGAAGAUUCCGUCCGCGUUGCCAGACUUGUUUCGACAUUUCCAAUCUUUCUUCUGUUGGAAGUUUUGUCGUUUGAGCAUCACAGCAAAAAGUAGUUUUUCGGGACAGACUAACUUACACCGCUUUUGGCGUUUUGGAUAUCGUUUUUCCUAAAUCCUAGAUAUUUGUUUUGAGUUCUGGAAUUCUGACGCCAGAAUCUCUCUUAGAAUUUCUCGGUGAUCGUGCUGCAAAAAUCGGAAUCGCGAAAUUUUCAUUUUCCCGCGAUUUCACCCGCCUAUAAAUAGGCGAAAAAGCAAAAUAUCUUUCAUUUUCCUCCAUUAGUGGCCCAAAUUCGUGGAGAGCAAGGGAGGAAGAGAUUUUCGCGAAAACUUGACCAAUCUUCGUGCAGUUCGUCCCUACUUCUAGGUAUCAAGUUGAAGGAACUUUGGAAUAUUCAGAGCAACUGUUUGAGGACAACCUUGAUUUCGAAGCUGGAACAGCUCGAGGCGUCUGUCAGCCGGUUCGUGAUGAUUCGUUGUGCGGGAAAGACCCGGAGCGAAAUGUCUAUUACUGAAGCUUUCGACGAGGACCCAGACUUCAUGGCUGAUCGAGGGAGAGUCGAUAAUAGUAGUGUGGGUUAUGGGUGGUUAGAGUCUUUUGAGUUGGUUGUCACUGUCAUAGCCCUGAUUCGUCUUACUUUUGGGACCGGGUAGGUUCCCGAUAUAUGGCUUUUUGUGUGGUUCUCUUGCUGAGGAUCACAGAGAGUCUGUCGGACUAUAGGGGUCUUGGGUUGAGGCCAUUUUGAGGCCGACCUUCUCUUGGAUAGUGGUAUAUUUGAUGCUUUUGCGUACAGUUCUGGUUUGUAUAUAUUCGCCUACGGGCACGCUACCUUGGAGUCACUGCGUGUGCGCGUGACGGGAUAGUGCAGCAGAGGCUGUACCUUUGUAUAUGUUGUUUAUCGGUUAGUUUAGUUGUUGGGCUUUGUCUUUAUUUCUUUAUUGCUUUUAUUAAAAGGAAACAAUCAAAAAAAAAAUUUACCUGUUUUCCGCGUAAAGUUUAUUUUUGGUUACUAAAGUGACACCUGGAAGUCGGGGUGUUACAGCGUUCUUGGAAAAGUAUUUUCCAACUAGUGCUCGGGAUGAGCGGGAGGCACAGUUUCUGACACUGCGUCAAGGAGGUAUGUCUGUACCUGAAUUUGCUUCCAAGUUGGAAUCUCUGGCGAAGCAUUUCCAAUUUUUCAACGAUCACGUUGAUGAGCGCUACAUGUGUAAGCGUUUUGUUAAUGGACUGAGGCCUGAUAUCGAGGACUCGGUGAGGC
This is a long non-coding RNA of Lotus japonicus, 1527 nucleotides long. RefSeq lists it as uncharacterized. The transcript is spliced from 3 exons. The record is from RefSeq and is a predicted model, not a curated record. NCBI's taxonomy places the organism in Eukaryota, Viridiplantae, Streptophyta, Magnoliopsida, Fabales, Fabaceae.